Molecule: ribosomal RNA, 402 nt
Filed under: Verrucomicrobiota bacterium
Lineage: Bacteria; Pseudomonadati; Verrucomicrobiota
Description: Verrucomicrobia bacterium partial 16S ribosomal RNA
Rfam family: Bacterial small subunit ribosomal RNA
Source: RNAcentral
UGGGGAAUUUUGCACAAUGGGGGAAACCCUGAUGCAGCGACGCCGCGUGAUUUAGAAGGCCUUCGGGUUGUAAAAAUCUUUUGUAUGGGAAGAAAAUGACAGUACCAUACGAAUAAGGACCGGCUAAUUACGUGCCAGCAGCCGCGGUAAUACGUAAGGUCCGAGCGUUGUCCGGAAUCAUUGGGCGUAAAGGGUACGUAGGCGGAUAAGCAAGUUAGAAGUGAAAUCCUAUAGCUCAACUAUAGUAAGCUUUUAAAACUGCUCAUCUUGAGGUAUGGAAGGGAAAGUGGAAUUCCUAGUGUAGCGGUGAAAUGCGCAGAUAUUAGGAGGAAUACCGGUGGCGAAGGCGACUUUCUGGCCAUAUACUGACGCUGAGGUACGAAAGAGUGGGUAGCAAACAGG